This 915-nucleotide ribosomal RNA is filed under the name uncultured Alphaproteobacteria bacterium. Its description in RNAcentral is "bacterial SSU rRNA". It matches the Rfam family "Bacterial small subunit ribosomal RNA", at positions 505 to 1403 of the family's 1533-position model. Lineage: Bacteria; Pseudomonadati; Pseudomonadota; Alphaproteobacteria. The record is from RNAcentral.
GUGCCAGCAGCCGCGGUAAUACGGGAGGGGCAAGCGUUAUUCGGAAUAACUGGGCGUAAAGAGUCCGUAGACCGUGUUAAAAGUUAUUUGUUAAUUUUUAAAGCUUAACUUUAAGCUAGCAAAUAAUACUAUUACACUAGAGUUUCUGUCAGAAAAGUAGAAUUUUAUAUUCAGAGGUAAAACUUGCAGAUAUAUAAAGGAAUACCAUUAAAAGCGAAGGCGACUUUUUAGUAAAAACUGACGUUGAGGGACGAAAGUAUAGGUAGCAAACAGGAUUAGAUACCCUGGUAGUCUAUACCGUAAAUUCUGAGUGCUGUAAUUUAAUUAAUUUGUUUUAAUUAGAUUUUUUUAAGCUAACGCUAUAAGCACUCCGCCUGAGGAGUAUGAUCGCAAGGUUGGAACUCAAAGGAAUUGACGGGGGCCUACAACUAGUGGUGGAGCAUGUGGUUUAAUGCGAUAAUCCGCGCAAAACCUUACCAAUUUCUUGAAUAAAAUUUAAAAAGUUGAUCUGCUCUAAUUGCAGAUUUUAUUAAAUAAUUUUACAGGUGUUGCACGACUGUCGUCAGCUCGUGUCGUGAGAUGUUUGGUUAAUUCCUUUAACGAGCGCAACUCUUGUCUUUAAUAAAUUACAAAUUUUAAUUUAAAUUGUUUUAAAAGAUACUGCUAAUGAUAAAUUUGAGGAAGGUGAGAAUUAAGUCAAGUCAAUGUGGCCCUUAUAAAUUGGGCUACACACGUGCUACAAUGAAAAUUACAGAAAGUAACAAAAAUGUAAAUUUUAGUUAAUCUUUUAAAAAUUUUCUAAGUUCGAAUUGUAAUCUGCAACUCGGUUACAUGAAGGUGGAAUCACUAGUAAUCGCAAAUCAGCAUGUUGCGGUGAAUACGUUACUUGGCCUUGUACACACCGCCCGUCACACC